Molecule: ribosomal RNA, 301 nt
Filed under: uncultured bacterium
Lineage: Bacteria
Description: partial 16S ribosomal RNA
Rfam family: Bacterial small subunit ribosomal RNA
Source: RNAcentral
CAGCAGCCGCGGGAAUACGAAGGGUGCAAGCGUUACUCGGAAUUACUGGGCGUAAAGCGUGCGUAGGUGGUGGUUUAAGUCCGUUGUGAAAGCCCUGGGCUCAACCUGGGAAUUGCAGUGGAUACUGGGUCACUAGAGUGUGGUAGAGGAUAGUGGAAUUUCCGGUGUAGCAGUGAAAUGCGUAGAGAUCGGAAGGAACAUCUGCGGCGAAGGCGACUAUCUGGGCCAACACUGACACUGAGGCACGAAAGCGUGGGGAGCAAACAGGAUUAGAUACCCCAGUAGUCCCUGUCUCUUAUAC